Rattus norvegicus (Norway rat) is the source of this 1184-nucleotide non-coding RNA. The record is from RefSeq and is a predicted model, not a curated record. Lineage: Eukaryota; Metazoa; Chordata; Mammalia; Rodentia; Muridae.
GAAGCUAUGAACUUGGGUCUUCAACUUGGGUUUCUGUGACUUAAUAAUGGUCUUCAAAUGACCAUUUAAACCUUACACUUAGCAGAGUAAAUAGUCUGACAAUGUCAUAUAUCAGGUAUUUCUUAGGAAAUCUAUGCUUUUUCCAGGAGCUGUAUUUAACACAGAAAUAACUCGGAGUGAACUUAUUGGAAAGCCUGGUGAGGUGGGGGCUCACACUUGCUGUCCCAGCACUGGAAAGGCUGCAGGACUGACAGGAGUUUGAACUUAGCCUGGACUACACAGUGAGUUCCAGGGGACUUGGACGAUAGAUGGAGACCUGUCCCAAAACCAAACCAAACCAAACCAAAAAUCAAUUUAAUGAGACUGUCUUAGCCCAUCUGCCUUCAGCAGACAUGAUAAAGGUCACCAUUAAGUUCCGUUUUUUAGGGAGGACCCAGUGCUGAUUCCUGUCUUAGAGUUUCACGUUAAGAAUGUUCUGUAACAGUUGGAGCCGCCUCUCACACACUUGGUUCCCACUGCUGCAGGGCAGUGUCCUAGAGUUUCCAUAGCUCAAAGCCACACACAUCAGCUCUGCUUGGUUUCUGAGGGCCAGGGUAGGGCCUAGAAAGGAAGCUACCCUGGGUCUGAGGCUGCUGGGAAACUUUCAAGAUGUGACAGGCUUUAUCUGACUAAGACAACUUUCUCUUACAACAUGGUUCUUCCCUUUGGACCCUUGUGUCCCUGUCACCUGCCAUCCCUGCAUAGAAGAUCUGAUUCAAGCUCCAGAUCCUUUCUGAGCUCAGCCCUUCUGCCGAAGAAGCACAGAGAACACGUUGUCAUCUCCACUAAAAAUCAAGGUCAAUGGUAUGGACUUGGAUCAAAGAGAGAGAAAGGACUGGGAAAGAAGGACAGCACUUAGAUACCAGUUGUGAGCCUGACCCCAGCUCAGAGUCAGAAAGGAGAGGGAGAAUACAUCAUUCCUUGCCCUUAUAUCUCCUGUGUGAGUGCCUCUCACCCAGUUACAGACCAUUUUCCUACUUCCUGGUGCCAAAUAUAAGACAGCGCUUUCACUUGUUCUACAUGUUUCCCUAAAAGGGGAAGAGUAACAGUUGCUGCUGAUUUUGUGAGCUUGACUACAGAAGUGAGAAAGUACCAUGAACAUAUGUAUGUGAGGGUGGGUUUCAAUAAAGUUUUAUUCACAAAAA